GACUGAUGUAAAGAAAAGCACAUGAAUCUGACCUUUGGAAAAUUUCGGAAAGGCCUGUGCUUCUGUUUCCCCACCAUGCCUUUACUCUUCCCCGAAGACUUCUUGCCAACGCAGAUGCUCGUAUAACUAAGCGCUGAUAUUUAGAUGUCUUCAUCUCGGUCAAUAAAGUGGAAUGUAAAAUA
Podarcis muralis (Common wall lizard) is the source of this 182-nucleotide long non-coding RNA. RefSeq lists it as uncharacterized. NCBI's taxonomy places the organism in Eukaryota, Metazoa, Chordata, Lepidosauria, Squamata, Lacertidae. The record is from RefSeq and is a predicted model, not a curated record.